Molecule: ribosomal RNA, 1412 nt
Filed under: metagenome
Description: bacterial LSU rRNA
Rfam family: Bacterial large subunit ribosomal RNA
Source: RNAcentral
GGUAGGUAAAUCCGCGGCAUUUAAGCCUGAGAUGUGAUGCCGAGCCGAUUGUGGUGAAGUGGAUGAUCCUAUGCUGCCGAGAAAAGCCUCUAGUGAGUGUUGUGGCGGCCCGUACCCUAAACCGACUCAGGUGGUCAGGUAGAGAAUACCAAGGCGAUCGGGUGAACUGUGGUUAAGGAACUCGGCAAAUUGCCCCCGUAACUUCGGGAGAAGGGGGACCUCUGUUGGUGAUGGGCUUUACGCCUGGAGCUGGUGGGGGUCGCAGUGGCCAGGGGGAAGCGACUGUUUACUAAAAACACAGGUCCGUGCGAAGUCGUAAGACGAUGUAUACGGACUGACGCCUGCCCGGUGCCGGAACGUUAAGGGGACCGCUUAGCUGACGUGAGUUGGCGAAGGUGAGAACUUGAGCGCCGGUAAACGGCGGUGGUAACUAUAACCAUCCUAAGGUAGCGAAAUUCCUUGUCGGGUAAGUUCCGACCUGCACGAACGGCGUAACGACUUCCCCGCUGUCUCAACCGCAGACCCGGCGAAAUUGCACUACGAGUAAAGAUGCUCGUUUCGCGCAGCAGGACGGAAAGACCCCGGGACCUUCACUACAGCUUGACAUUGGCGUUUGGAACGUCUUGUGUAGGAUAGGUGGGAGACUGGGAAGCUGUCACGCUAGUGAUGGUGGAGUCAUUGGUGAAAUACCACUCUGGUCGUUUUGAACGUCUAACUCUGGUCCGUGAUCCGGAUCGGGGACAGUGUCUGGUGGGUAGUUUAACUGGGGCGGUUGCCUCCUAAAGAGUAACGGAGGCGCCCAAAGGUUCCCUCAGCCUGGUUGGCAAUCAGGUGUUGAGUGUAAGUGCACAAGGGAGCUUGACUGUGAGACUGACAGGUCGAGCAGGAGCGAAAGCUGGGACUAGUGAUCCGGCAUCGGCGUGUGGAAGCGGUGUCGCUCAACGGCUAAAAGGUACCCCGGGGAUAACAGGCUGAUCUUCCCCAAGAGUCCAUAUCGACGGGAUGGUUUGGCACCUCGAUGUCGGCUCGUCGCAUCCUGGGGCUGGAGUAGUCCCAAGGGUUGGGCUGUUCGCCCAUUAAAGCGGUACGCGAGCUGGGUUUAGAACGUCGCGAGACAGUUCGGUCCCUAUCCGCUGCGCGCGCAGGAGACUUGAAGGGGGCUGUCCCUAGUACGAGAGGACCGGGACGGACGAACCUCUGGUGUGCCAGUUGUACCGCCAGGUGCACGGCUGGUUGGCUACGUUCGGAAGGGAUAACCGCUGAAAGCAUCUAAGCGGGAAGCUCGCCUUGAGAUGAGGUCUCCCACCACGAGAGUGGGUAAGGCUCCCGGUAGACGACCGGGUUGAUAGGCCGGAGGUGGAAGCACGGUAACGUGUGGAGCUGACCGGUACUAAUAGGCCGAGGACUUGAUC